This 429-nucleotide ribosomal RNA is filed under the name Bacteroidota bacterium. RNAcentral describes it as "Bacteroidetes bacterium partial 16S ribosomal RNA". It matches the Rfam family "Bacterial small subunit ribosomal RNA", at positions 355 to 776 of the family's 1533-position model. Lineage: Bacteria; Pseudomonadati; Bacteroidota. The record is from RNAcentral.
UAGGGAAUCUUCCGCAAUGGACGCAAGUCUGACGGAGCAACGCCGCGUGAGUGAAGAAGGAUUUCGGUUCGUAAAACUCUGUUGUUAGAGAAGAACAGCGCAUAGAGUAACUGUUAUGCGUGUGACGGUAUCUAACCAGAAAGCCACGGCUAACUACGUGCCAGCAGCCGCGGUAAUACGUAGGUGGCAAGCGUUGUCCGGAUUUAUUGGGCGUAAAGCGAGCGCAGGCGGUCAAUUACGGCUGAUGUGAAAGCCCCCGGCUCAACCGGGGAGGGUCAUUGGAAACUGGUUGACUUGAGUGCAGAAGAGGAGAGUGGAAUUCCAUGUGUAGCGGUGAAAUGCGUAGAUAUAUGGAGGAACACCAGUGGCGAAGGCGACUCUCUGGUCUGUAACUGACGCUGAGGUUCGAAAGCGUGGGUAGCAAACAGG